Molecule: ribosomal RNA, 1449 nt
Filed under: Triticum aestivum (bread wheat)
Lineage: Eukaryota; Viridiplantae; Streptophyta; Magnoliopsida; Poales; Poaceae
Description: partial small subunit ribosomal RNA
Source: RNAcentral
AUGGAAGGGCUCGACGUCUUCCAGCACUACCGUCUGAAUCCUACGGAUGUGGAGGCCGUGACUUACUACCUGCCACGCCUCAUCGCCGGCCAGCUGCAUGGCGCCGAGAAAUUCAUCCACCACGUCGACAUCUACAGCUGCGAGCCCAAGGAUCUCGCCGCCAAGAUUGCGCCCGUGCCGCAGGCCGCCAGCAGCGGCGACCGCUUCUUCCUCACCACGCGCAAGAGCAAGAACGGAAGCAAAACCCAGAGCGUGCGCACCGCCGCCGGCGGCACCUGGACCGUCAAUGCUACCACGACCGUCAGACACGCGGGAGUCGAGGUCGGCGAGAGGAAGAACCUGUCGUUCAGGAAGAAGGGCAAGUCCACCGGCUGGGUCAUGGAGGAGUACAAAUGCUUGCUGCCAGAGGCCGUCGUCUCUGACGGGGUGAAGGUGUUCUGCAAGAUCCACUUGGCUCAGCAUCCUCCUGACGCGGCCCGCCAAGAAUCGGCCGCGUACAAGCUUCAAGAACCGCAACGAGAGCCUGUGACUGCGAGCACGCACGCACAGAAGAGGCCAGCGCCGGCUGCCGCCGCCGAUCCUCAUCCGCCGCGCCCCAACAAGAGGAUGCGAGGAGCAGUCCCCGUCCCGGCACCUGCCACACCGUCGUUCUGGACGCAUGGUGAGGCAGCCAGAGCAAUGUAUGGCCCGCUGGCUUGUACCAACUUCACUGUUCAGGAUGCACAAGUACCUGCUGUGGCUGUACCAGCGGCAAUCGAAGGUGCUUCAGCAUCAUGCGAGUCCACUACAACAUCCAGCCACUCCGGCGUUGCUUCUUCCUCAGAUAAUAUGCAGCGACAAGCUCAAGCUCCUGAGAUUUCCUCCCAGUCAGAUGUGCUGGAGUCUGUCAAGCAUUACAGCCAACAACAGAUGAUUGUUCCUGAGGCUGGCUCAAGCAUUGCAAGGAGCACAUCUGAAGAGGAUGUCUUUGAGCCAUUGGAGCCUGUUUCCAAUUUGCUGGAUGGGGAGGCUGAUGGUUUUGAUAUUGAAGAACUAAUGAGAAUGAUGGAAGACGACCCAAUUGAAGCUGAGCCGGUCACUGGAGCCAACACUGGCGUGGAGAUGGGCCAACAGGAACCUUUGUACCUGGAUACCUUGGACCAAGGCAUGCUGGACGACAUGCUGCAGUCGGAUGAACCUUACUCAAUGUGGAUAUCAGAGGAUCGGGCCAUGCACGACCCUUCCUUCCAUGAUGCUGACAAGCAGAAGAGGUACAAUGCCGCGUCUGAUCUUGACGCUCCAUCGCUUCAGGGACAGGACCACUUGUUCAAACCGCGGCCGUGUUUCUCCGAUCCAUUUGAAGCAGCGUGGAAUGCCGAAGAGGCGCUCGAGAAGGAGAAGAGGGACAAUCUUCACGCUGGACCGCUUGGAGGACACAACAACUUCUUCUCGUCUGCAAGUGUCCAUUAA